AAUAUUGGGCAAUGGGGGAAACCCUGACCCAGCAACGCAGCGUGAAGGAUGAAGGCUUUCGGGUUGUAAACUUCUUUGAUCAGGGACGAAACAAAUGACGGUACCUGAAGAACAAUCCACGGCCAACCACGUUCUAGUAGCCGCGGUAAUACGUAGGUUGCAAGCGUUAGCCGGAUUUACUGGGUGUAAAGGGCGGGUAGGCGGUUCUGCAAGUCGGGUGUGAAAUUUCCGGGCUUAACCCGGGCGGGUCGCCCGAAACUGCGGAACUUGAGUACUGGAGAGGAUAGUGGAAUUCCUAGUGGAGCGGUAAAAUGCGUAGAUAUUAGGAGGAACACCAGUGGCGAAGGCGGCUAUCUGGACAGUAACAGACGCUGAGGCGCGAAAGCGUGGGGAGCAAACAGG
Molecule: ribosomal RNA, 402 nt
Filed under: uncultured bacterium
Lineage: Bacteria
Description: partial 16S ribosomal RNA
Rfam family: Bacterial small subunit ribosomal RNA
Source: RNAcentral